This 508-nucleotide ribosomal RNA is filed under the name Microbacterium sp. IO2. RNAcentral's name for it is "bacterial SSU rRNA". It matches the Rfam family "Bacterial small subunit ribosomal RNA", at positions 341 to 859 of the family's 1533-position model. The record is from RNAcentral. Lineage: Bacteria; Bacillati; Actinomycetota; Actinomycetes; Micrococcales; Microbacteriaceae.
UCGGGAGGCAGCAGUGGGGAAUAUUGCACAAUGGGCGAAAGCCUGAUGCAGCAACGCCGCGUGAGGGACGACGGCCUUCGGGUUGUAAACCUCUUUUAGCAAGGAAGAAGCGAAAGUGACGGUACUUGCAGAAAAAGCGCCGGCUAACUACGUGCCAGCAGCCGCGGUAAUACGUAGGGCGCAAGCGUUAUCCGGAAUUAUUGGGCGUAAAGAGCUCGUAGGCGGUUUGUCGCGUCUGCUGUGAAAACUGGGGGCUCAACCCCCAGCCUGCAGUGGGUACGGGCAGACUAGAGUGCGGUAGGGGAGAUUGGAAUUCCUGGUGUAGCGGUGGAAUGCGCAGAUAUCAGGAGGAACACCGAUGGCGAAGGCAGAUCUCUGGGCCGUAACUGACGCUGAGGAGCGAAAGGGUGGGGAGCAAACAGGCUUAGAUACCCUGGUAGUCCACCCCGUAAACGUUGGGAACUAGUUGUGGGGUCCAUUCCACGGAUUCCGUGACGCAGCUAACGCA